AGUGAACGCUGGCGCUAGGCCUAACACAUGCAAGUCGAACGGCAGCACAGUAAGAGCUUGCUCUUACGGGUGGCGAGUGGCGGACGGGUGAGGAAUACAUCGGAAUCUACUUUUUCGUGGGGGAUAACGUAGGGAAACUUACGCUAAUACCGCAUACGACCUACGGGUGAAAGCAGGGGAUCUUCGGACCUUGCGCGAUUGAGUGAGCCGAUGUCGGAUUAGCUAGUUGGCGGGGUAAAGGCCCACCAAGGCGACGAUCCGUAGCUGGUCUGAGAGGAUGAUCAGCCACACUGGAACUGAGACACGGUCCAGACUCCUACGGGAGGCAGCAGUGGGGAAUAUUGGACAAUGGGCGCAAGCCUGAUCCAGCCAUACCGCGUGGGUGAGGAAGGCCUUCGGGUUGUAAAGCCCUUUUGUUGGGAAAGAAAAGCAGCAGGUUAAUACCCCGCUGUUCUGACGGUACCCAAAGAAUAAGCACCGGCUAACUUCGUG
This 492-nucleotide ribosomal RNA is filed under the name uncultured bacterium. RNAcentral's name for it is "partial 16S ribosomal RNA". It matches the Rfam family "Bacterial small subunit ribosomal RNA", at positions 29 to 507 of the family's 1533-position model. The record is from RNAcentral.